CAUUUUUUAUAUCCAUUUAACCAUUUCAUUUUUUUAACCAAUAUCCAUUUUUGAAUCCAUUUUCAAUAUCAAAACCAUUUUCAAUAUUCACAUCCAUUUUGUAUAACCAAAUUAAUCCAUAUUUCAAUUUUAAAAUCCAUUUUCUCUUUUAUCCAUUUAUGCUAACCACAUCCAAUUUUAAUUAUCCGCAUUCAAUUGAACCAAUAGCUACCUACAAAACAACAAUUCGCAACUCAAAGCUGCUACAGUUUAAGUCGAACACAACUUGAAAUGCAACCAAGGAAUGAAACGUAAAGCAAGGCGUUAUGAGCUGCAAGCUACAACAACACCAAAACGCAUAAGUCAGCUCCAAACGCACACCAGAUGCUAUGAACACAAGCCACCAAGCCAAACAACUUGCAAUUCCAUAUUGAGACGCAGCUAACGCUUCCAAGCCGGUGAACCGCAAAGCAAAACGUGAGCCAACAACAAAUUGCACAAAUUAGCUUGCAUAAAAUCCAAUUCACUGCAUAAAUAAGAAUGAACCUGCAUAAUUUCAAGAAAAAGAUAACAAAUGGAAUAACAGAUUCAACUUCCUAACAAACUUCUAAUCUCACUCUCAUAACUCUAUAAAAUCAAUCUUCUUCUCAUCUCCUAGAUUCUUCUUCUUCAACCUCAUCGCAUUUCUAACCAACCUUUCUCCCAUCCAUCACCGUAACAAUCUCCGCCUUCAACCAAAACCUUCAAUCAAACCUCCAUUUCCAAUCCAC
RNAcentral lists this long non-coding RNA (749 nucleotides) under Lathyrus oleraceus (garden pea). RNAcentral describes it as "Pisum sativum (pea) long non-coding RNA (PSAT_LNC015299)". Lineage: Eukaryota; Viridiplantae; Streptophyta; Magnoliopsida; Fabales; Fabaceae. The record is from RNAcentral.